GGAUGAACGCUGGCGGCGUGCUUAACACAUGCAAGUCGAACGAUGAAGCCCAGCUUGCUGGGUGGAUUAGUGGCGAACGGGUGAGUAACACGUGAGUAACCUGCCCUUAACUCUGGGAUAAGCCUGGGAAACUGGGUCUAAUACCGGAUAGGAGCGUCCACCGCAUGGUGGGUGUUGGAAAGAUUUAUCGGUUUUGGAUGGACUCGCGGCCUAUCAGCUUGUUGGUGAGGUAAUGGCUCACCAAGGCGACGACGGGUAGCCGGCCUGAGAGGGUGACCGGCCACACUGGGACUGAGACACGGCCCAGACUCCUACGGGAGGCAGCAGUGGGGAAUAUUGCACAAUGGGCGCAAGCCUGAUGCAGCGACGCCGCGUGAGGGAUGACGGCCUUCGGGUUGUAAACCUCUUUCAGUAGGGAAGAAGCGAAAGUGACGGUACCUGCAGAAGAAGCACCGGCUAACUACGUGCCAGCAGCCGCGGUAAUACGUAGGGUGCGAGCGUUAUCCGGAAUUAUUGGGCGUAAAGAGCUCGUAGGCGGUUUGUCGCGUCUGUCGUGAAAGUCCGGGGCUUAACCCCGGAUCUGCGGUGGGUACGGGCAGACUAGAGUGCAGUAGGGGAGACUGGAAUUCCUGGUGUAGCGGUGGAAUGCGCAGAUAUCAGGAGGAACACCGAUGGCGAAGGCAGGUCUCUGGGCUGUAACUGACGCUGAGGAGCGAAAGCAUGGGGAGCGAACAGGAUUAGAUACCCUGGUAGUCCAUGCCGUAAACGUUGGGCACUAGGUGUGGGGACCAUUCCACGGUUUCCGCGCCGCAG
The sequence is a ribosomal RNA, 813 nucleotides long. It matches the Rfam family "Bacterial small subunit ribosomal RNA", at positions 27 to 851 of the family's 1533-position model.